Molecule: long non-coding RNA, 577 nt
Filed under: Rosa chinensis
Lineage: Eukaryota; Viridiplantae; Streptophyta; Magnoliopsida; Rosales; Rosaceae
Description: sRNA RchiOBHm_Chr1g0339031
Source: RNAcentral
UUCUGAUAUAUUAUUACACCCAUUCUGUGGUGUAUAUAAAUAGAUUACAAUCGUACUACAACCGUACUACACAACAUAUACAAGGUAAGUAAUUACAACAAUAUAUUCCCUUGUAGUCUAUUCCUAAUAGGGAACGAUGACUCACACUAACAUUAGAUUCUUAUGUUUUAUGAUUGCUGCAGCAUAUGAUUGUUUGAUAAAAGAUCUUGGUUCUCUCUAUGAGAAAUAGCAGACUUCUCACGAAGUAUAAAGAAAGAUUCUGCAAGUGUAGAAUAAAGGAGGACCUUAUGUGGAAAUUCAGAAAUCUGGCAUUGCUGAUUUAGAUGCAAGUUUUUCUUUAGUUCUGCUACAGUGGUUGUGAUCAUAUUAACCUUGAAAUUAGAUUGUAGAAAUGUACAAUAUCAGUGAUCACAAAAGAGGUUCUUGUCAUUGCAGUUGCUAGAUGAACCAAUAUGAAAGUCCAAGUGGGAGAAUGUAAGCUUUUAUUUGGACUUGCAUAUAACACAGAAUUCAUCAAGCACAUGCAUUUAAAGUUUACUUAAGAACAAGAAUUAAAGUUUGUACAUUGACUAUUAUC